This is an RNA transcript of Triticum dicoccoides, 2660 nucleotides long. RefSeq lists it as uncharacterized. The transcript has 5 exons. Lineage: Eukaryota; Viridiplantae; Streptophyta; Magnoliopsida; Poales; Poaceae. The record is from RefSeq and is a predicted model, not a curated record.
CCUCUCAUCCCGCGAGACCUUCAUGGUCCAUAAACCGCAUCUACCUUCUGCUCUACGCCUAUCCGCAUUGCAUCCCUCACCUCGCCAGUCUCCUAGACCAUGGCUUGUCCGCGAUGCUGCCUGCAUGUCGUCGAUAACCUCGACCCCGGUGCGGCCGCACUGCCGCCUGCACGUUCCCGGUCGCCUCGACCCCAGCGCGGCUGCGCUGCCGCCUGCACGUCGCUGGUAGCCCCGCCCCCGGUGCACGCGUGCUGUCGCCUGCACUUCGUCGAUUGCCUCGACCACGGUGCGGCCGCGCUGCCGCCUGCACGUCGCCCGUAGCUUCGACCCUGAUGCGCCCACGCUACCGCUUGCUCAUCUCCAUCCACUACAGUGCUGCAGGUAGAAUUUGGUACUUAUGUUUUCAGAAAUUUUGAUGAAGUUCAACCAUAUAUUAGUGAGUACUCCAGUGGUCAAGAUGGAUGUUCACCACAACCAUUUACCACCAUGUGGAACCAGAAGUUCAGUCAGUGGUUCAAAAGAGAAGGAGUAGAUUCAGAUGUCGUGUUCAAAUUCGAGAUAGACUCCUCUGCACACAGACCAAUGGGGUGGCUGUCCUUUCAGAAGAAGGGGAUAAUAAUUGGUAAUACAAUAGAAUAUUAUGCCAUAUUGACAGAGAUAGUCGAGCUGCAAUAUUUAGAUGGAAGGCGUGUGACAUUAUUCCGUUGCAACUAGAUUGACGUAUUUAACAAAGAGCAUGGAAUGAAGUAAGACAACAAGAAUGGAAUCGUUAGGCUUAACCUGCAGUGUUUGCUUUAGACAGAUGAGCCUUUCAUUCUGGAUAGCAAAGUUUAAAAAAAAAUUAUUAAGGACAAACUUAUAAAAGGAUGGCACACAAUUGUGAAAAAAAUCCAUCACGUCAUGCUUAUAAUGUAUCACAUGGACAGUCCGAUGAUAUACCCUCUGAACCUGAACCUGACAAUAGCGACGAAGAUGACUUCUUUCAAAAAUUAACAACAACGUCAUGUAGAAAGAGAACAACAUGAGGCCACUAGUUUAUUCAAGUCUUAAUCUGUAGUAUUUGAUUUGCUUCUUAUAUUAGCUUUUACCUUAUUAAUAAACAGUGACACAAGUAGUUCUGUACUUACUUUAUUUGAUUUAGCAUUCACUCAUUUAACUUAAAUUGUACUUUGUAUAGCCUUUGCGCACACUUCAACCAAACGCUAUAUAUAUAGACACACACACACACAUGUUAUCACAGUGAGUCAUCAUAGGUAUGGAAACUUGACAACAUUAGCUUGGGAAAGAUGCUUUCACAGAUGAAUAAGUCUGGACUGGUACACAAAGGCAUUGCUAGGCGGACCUUCAUGGAGAAAUCAAGUCAAUUAGCAGAUUUCAGCAGAAAAGGGUUACCCACAGGCUCAAAUGCAAGAUGCGGAACUGUGAAAAAAUACAAGUUACCUACAAAAGGUACUAUGUAAACAUAAAAAUAUUAUUCAGCUAUCUUAUAAUCAAUGAUAUAAUGUGGUUAAUUGUUUUCAUAGAUGGAAACGAUGCGCUAACAAAUACACCAAUCAUGUUUAGUACAAAUUGGGAUGCAGGUGAUUCCAAAAGUGAGUUUCUAUGAAUGAUCAAGUUGAUGCCAGCAAUGAAAGUGACAUGGGAAAUUCAAUGGAUGAAUUUUAUGGUAUGUAAAAUGUAUUUAUUUCAUCUUUAAUUCAUGUACUGUGCUGGCUGAUUGGUUGUAUAUUUUCAAACACUGCAAAUGGUGUAGAUGAAUUAAUAGGUAAUAAAAAUCUAGAAAGUGAAGAACUGUGGGGCAACCAUGGCCUUGCAAGGAGUUUUUGGUCAGUUCUCAUGUUGCCUCUUUAUUUGAUCUAGUAGUAAACCUUCUAGAUAGAUAAUUUGGGAAUUGGUACACAAUUUAACUUCUGCUGUUUUUAUUCCAAUAAUAUAAGAUCAGUAUGGAUAGUCUAUUUUCUAAGACACACAAGAAGGGUACAAUCUUUGUUGAUUGUACAACCUCCGCCAAACACGUAAGACUUAAUUUAACUGUAAUAACUUCAAUAAUGAACAACAAGUGUAUAAUUCCUACUUAGAGAUAGAAGUAACUUACUGUUGGUGCUCCAACAACAAGUGUACAAUUCCUACUUAGAGAUAGAAGUAACUUAUUGUUGGUGCUCCAGACACAAACUAAGACCAUAGUUUAACUCGAAGAAAAGUUCAAUGGCAUGGUGUAAGAAGUUUCUGAAAUUAAGUGACUUGUGUCUGGUAGUUCUCUAAGUGAUAGUUCUCAUGAAAGCCAACAUGAUCAAGUAAGUUGUUAUUAUACAUUGAUUUUAUAUGUUAUUACACUUUGUGCCAAUUUAUUCACAACGGCUGACUUCCAUAAACUACUCAACAUUUUGUAGGAUUGAUGGUCCAUCGUGAUAUAUAGAAGUAUCAAGUAUCAGGAGGCAGUGUAAGAGCUGAUGAAGAAUGGUAUCCAUUCAAACAAUGAUGGUGUCCCUCGAUUGAAGAUAAAUAAAUAUUAUGUUUUCUAGUUGUCUCGUUUUCCAAAUAGAUAUGAUCAAGUCCAUUGGUCAUAUAAGGAUUGCUUUUGACUCAAAUUUCUGAAAUGAUAUUUUUUCAUAAUUGUAUGUCGGAAUAUUGGUAUUUCUAUCUAUUAAUGAAAGAGGCUA